GCCUGAUUGUUAAAACUGCAUCCAAAAUGAGCAGCUAUAUAGGAAAUAAGCGCUACCUCACUCCAACCUUUAUACGAAUAAAGAGAAAUCUGAAUGUUUUGUUUGUUAAACCUUCAGAUCCAUAUAAUGCUGACCACAUGCUUUUUCAAACAGAGCACACUGUACUUCUUUUAGGACACGAAGCAUGAAUGAUUAGUGAAUAAGCAAUAUAAAAGAGGAAUUUUGCUAAUUGCAUAUACGUCCAUAUAUGUAUCAUAGAGAGAUCAAAGAUAGAGAGAUGCUGCUUUUUCCCUUAUAUGAUGGUUUGGUUCCCUUUUAUCAGUACACCUAGAGUUCCUACUAGACAUUAGCACAAACACAUUACUGGCAGCCAAAGCAUAAAAUUGCUAGCAUGUUAUGGUCACGCCCUGAUUCGUGAUGCAUGGGAAGGGGAAGCAGUGGAGCGGCUGAGCUCCACCGGCCACGCACGGGGUGUCACAGGGGUGUCCACGACGGAUUUAGGAGCUACAACAUCAGUAGAAACCGAACUGCAGAGUGCAGAGGAUCCGACCUUCACUCCAGCGCUGAGGAGGUGACGAGCGUGAGGAGGAGGCCGGUGGAUGACUGAAACUGUAAAGACUAAAGAGGCAUCCGUAACAAAAAUGUUGAGCAGACCUCCAACUUUUGUCCCUGCAGUUUCUUCGGUUCUUCACCUUCCACUUAUCCCUUUGCAAGCAACAAGCUACUCCACUGUUUCCCUUGCUAGCUGCUGUAACAACACAUUCAUUAUUAGUCUAUUCAUGAUCACUACAAGCAAAGAUCACACCAGAUAUUCCCAAUAGAAACAUAAUUUUUAUCAGAAGAAAAAAAUAUUAUUCUUUGCACUAAUGAAGUUCAUUUUUUUCACUUCUACUAAAACGUACUAAGUCCAAAAGAUAGAACACAUUCAUCUCCUCAGUCCUCACGAGUAAAGUAAAAAUAGGGUAUGUACAAAUGUUCAUCCCAAAUGAACACCGGUCAUGAAAUUUUCUGCACCAUAAACAUUGCAAAGCUCAUUUCUUUUAACUGUUAAGAACUGAUGAUUUUCUUUUGUCAAUGAACUCUUCUAACAUAUGUACUAGAAUUUCUAAAAGUUCAACAUUUUUUUGUAAUGGAUAUAAUGAACUCCUUAAUUUCAGACAUGAAAAUUAUAGAAUUUUUUUUUAUAGGCAAUCAAAUUGACAUACAGAGGAGGCGAGAAGGCUGACGGAGAGAGACGACGUCGUUGCAGCCGAAGCCGGUGUAGGCGGUUGGCCUCGUUGAGACGACAUCGUUGCAGCCAAAGACGGUGUAGCCGUGUAGGCGGUUGGCCUCGUCGGCGACGCGCUGGAGGAAGGGAGUGCUGUUGCCGAUAGCGGGAGAUGAGGCCCGUGGAGGCACAGGGUCUCGCGGCUGCCAGCUCAAGGAGUAGUGCGUGUAAAAAAGAUAAAACUGCAAAAUUCAGUACACUUUCUGUAGAACAUCAAAACAGCAACAUUCAGUUCAUCUUCACAAAGGAGGACUGUUGUAGCAUCUAGAUUCGAAGGAGAAGCAUUAUGCUAGAAUAAGUUGGACUGCAUAUAUUCUUCUUUUUGAACUUUUGCAACAAGUUAGAACUCUGUAUGCAGGUCGUGGGGAGGUGAGCGGCGGCAAUGUACGCGGGCCUGAACAUUGUUACUACCCAAAACCACAAACGUGCUACCUGUAGAAAAUCCACAAACGUGCUUAACAUGGAUGGGAUGGAAGUGCUGUGCUCACCCUCACCUUGACUGCUCUGGACUGCUACUCGCGAUGGCCCCAACCUCCCUGACGAUGCGGGGCUCGACUGGGAUGGCAUUGUGUCCCCGUCAGGGCAAUCGGGAGGAGGCGGAGGUGUGGGAACCGGGAUGAGGAAGAAGGUAGGUGCGGGAGCUCCACCUGGGGGGGAUCGUGCCAGAGUGGGGAGGCACUGGGUGGAGCCGAGAAAAGCUUGGAUCCCCGCCGAUGGCCCCCAAUUUUUCUGGAAUAGGAGGCAGGCAGAGUGAGCCGGGGCAAGUAGGCGACUAAUGUGGCGUCCGCUCCGGGGGAACGN
Molecule: long non-coding RNA, 2068 nt
Filed under: Triticum aestivum (bread wheat)
Lineage: Eukaryota; Viridiplantae; Streptophyta; Magnoliopsida; Poales; Poaceae
Description: long non-coding RNA (TAES_LNC023889)
Source: RNAcentral